RNAcentral lists this ribosomal RNA (440 nucleotides) under uncultured bacterium. RNAcentral describes it as "partial 16S ribosomal RNA". It matches the Rfam family "Bacterial small subunit ribosomal RNA", at positions 338 to 795 of the family's 1533-position model. The record is from RNAcentral.
CCUACGGGAGGCAGCAGUGGGGAAUAUUGCACAAUGGGGGAAACCCUGAUGCAGCGACGCCGCGUGAGUGAAGAAGCAAUUCGUUAUGUAAAGCCCUAUCAGCAGGGAAGAAAAUGACGGUACCUGAGUAAGAAGCCCCGGCUAACUAAGUGCCAGCAGCCGCGGUAAUAAGUAGGGGGCAAGCGUUAACCGGAUUUACUGGGUGUAAAGGGAGCGUAGACGGCAGUGCAAGUCUGGAGUGAAAGGCGGGGGCUCAACCCCCGGACUGCUCUGGAAACUGUACGGCUGGAGUGCAGGAGAGGUAAGUGGAAUUCCUAGUGUAGCGGUGAAAUGCGUAGAUAUUAGGAGGAACACCAGUGGCGAAGGCGGCUUACUGGACUGUAACUGACGUUGAGGCUCGAAAGCGUGGGGAGCAAACAGGAUUAGAUACCCUAGUAGUC